RNAcentral lists this ribosomal RNA (253 nucleotides) under uncultured bacterium. RNAcentral describes it as "partial 16S ribosomal RNA". It matches the Rfam family "Bacterial small subunit ribosomal RNA", at positions 524 to 776 of the family's 1533-position model. The record is from RNAcentral.
UAAGAAGGGGGCGAGAGUUGUUCGGAUUUACUGGGCGUAAAGGGCGUGCAGGCGGCUCAUUUUGUCAGGCGUGAAAGCCCCGGGCUUAACCUGGGAACUGCGUUUGAUACGGAUGGGCUAGAGUUCGGGAGAGGAGAGUGGAAUUCCCAGUGUAGAGGUGAAAUUCGUAGAUAUUGGGAAGAACACCGGUGGCGAAGGCGGCUCUCUGGACCGAGACUGACGCUAAGGCGCGAAAGCGUGGGGAGCAAACAGG